ACUCAUAAGAUCGUGACA
RNAcentral lists this small nuclear RNA (18 nucleotides) under Arabidopsis thaliana (thale cress). RNAcentral's name for it is "snRNA_04335". The record is from RNAcentral. Lineage: Eukaryota; Viridiplantae; Streptophyta; Magnoliopsida; Brassicales; Brassicaceae.